ACUCGCAGGGCUCUCACUGCUCGCGGUGCGGCAGCCGCGCGCGGACUCCGCUGCGCCUCCGAGGGGGCCAGGCACGCGGUCAAGAUCUGUGGCCACUGGUUCCCAUGGUUUCGAGGCACCAUGAGGCUCGCUGGCUCCUGGAAACUUUGGCUUUGGGCAGCACUUCUCCUGCUUCCUGCUUCCACUUCCGUGACGGUUAGGGACAAGCCAGAAAAGCAGUGUCCUGUACUGAGAACAGAGGAGCAUCAGUUUACACAAGACAAUGGAGAUAAACUUGAAGUUUCAGGUUUUGACCUAGGAGAGAGUUUUUCUAUGAGACGUGUGUUUUGUGAAGGUGAUAAAACCUGUUUCAAAUUGGGAAGUUCUCUUCUUAUUAGAGACACCAUGUUGAACUUCACCAACUUAAAAUCUACUGUGACUUGAACUUCAUAGCUCAAGAAACUUGUUGUGAGAUGUCAGACACUAAGUGCCCAGAGCAGGUUGGCUUUGGAAGUACUGCAUCUUUAUCAGUACCUGCGUAUGCCAGUCGAAUGUCUGCAUUUCUGCCAGCAAAGCAGGAACUAACAGACCAGUGCCAGUGUAUUCCAGAGAAGGGAGAAGCAGGAUUACAGGGAGCUCCAGGCUCACCGGGCCAGAAAGGAGACAAAGGACAGCAGGUAAGACACCAUCCAGUGCUGUCAGGAUGCAAGAGGAUUUGUCCAAAAGUGACUUUAAACUUGUGUCCAGCUCAUUUUUCUAGUCCCAUAUAAAUGCACAUUUCCAUAAAAAAGGCUGUCAAGGGCUGUAUUUAAGUGCUGUGCUGACCACUGAAAUAAAGAAGACUGAUAUCAGCAUGCAAGUCUGCUUUGGAGAAUCCUAUUGAAGGCUGGCCUAAAAUAUGGAAAGAUUAGGAAAUCUAGAUCUUUGUACCUGUUAAACCACAAGCAAAACCGCAAAGCAAGAAAGUUUGUUUUUCAGCGGUGUUGUAGCUUUCUUUAGCAUUCUCUUCUCCAAAUGCUUGAUGAACUUCUGAUGCUCUUGUCUGCUGAUAGGUCUCCACUGAAGAUUUUUCCUUACCCUUUAUUCAGGGGUGUAAACACCUUUGUUGAACACUUUCUCUGCGUAAGGCCUAGUGUUGGGUGUUAGAGGGGGUAGACAGAAGGGGAUCCAUUCCCUUUUCUCCAUGAUUUUAAAUCUGGGAGAAGACAGAAGACCUUAUCAGACCGCAUGUGUUAGGUGCUGUAGGAGCAUUUCAGGGGUCCUCAGGGAACUGUCUGGGGAGACUGGGGAGAGUUUCCUGGAGGAGAUGGUAAGUGACAGGACCUGUGAGAAUCUGAUUCUAGCCAGUAUCCACACCUAGAGACUGCCUUUCCCUUCUCCCUAUCCCUUUUAUAACUGAACUAUUCAGUUCCCCACUCUUUUGAGUCAUGUCUUUUUUUCAACCAGUUUUUUUUUUUAAUUGAAGUACAGUCAGUUUACAGUGUUGUGUUAGCCUCAGGUGCACAGCAAAGUGACUGAAUUAUACAGGCAUAUAUAUUCUUUUUUCAGAUUCUUUUUUUUUUUAAUAUCCAGCAGAUACUCAUUUUUUUAUUUUAAUGAUUUUUAUUUUUUUCCAUUGUGAGAUUCUUUUCCAUUAUAGUUUAUUACAAGACAUUGGAUGUAGUUCCCUGUGCUAUACAGUAGGUCCUUGUUAGUGUUCUAUUUUAUAUAUAGUAAUAUGUAUCUGUUAAUCCCAAACAUGUAUCUUCCCACCUCCUCUAUCCCCUCUAGUAACCAUAAGUUUGUUUUCUAUGAGUCAUGUCUCUUGUUAGCUCACUAGGUAGAUUAAUUUCUGCCAAGGUUAGAGUUGGUUAUGUUCUUACUAUCUUUCCAAGGUAAAAUAGUUUAAAUUCUUUUCAUGCCUUAACUUGGAAAUCCAAAGCUUUAAAUUGUUUAUAUAAUCUACAUGGACUCCUUAUUUUAAAAGGCUCAUAAGCAGAUUAAUUUAUGCCAAGAUUAGGAGUUGAUUAUAUCUUUCCAUGGAAGAUACAAUAGUAGACUUUCCUUUGGGAUCAUAGACCAAGAAUGGAGAGUUCCCUGGUGGCCUAGUGAUUAAGGAUUCAGCUUUGUCACUGCUAAGUUACCUGAAGUUCCCAUGGAAAAUAAAGAACUCAUAGAAAACAAACUUAUUAAGCACCUCAGUGGCUUCUGCUUGAGAGGAACUGUUUGGGGUAGGAUGGGUGUUUAUUUUUAAAGGCUGAGAAAUGACUGAUUUCACCAAGCUGCACAACAAGCUUCAACCAAGCCAUUCUUGGUUGGGUUCUUUUUUGGCCAAACCCACAACAUACAGAAGUUCCCAGGCCAGGGCUCAAACAUCAUCCACCUUAUAAACAAUAAUAUUCAGUAUUAUUUAUGUGUGGUCUUUGGUCAGGUUACUUCCACUUGUAAUAUCUUAUUUUGUCCUUAUCACCUAAGAAUGUAAAUCUAAUAUUUGUAUCCUCAUUUUGCAACUGAGAGAACCGUGCUUUCAAAAUCAUUAUAAUACUGAAGUGCACUUUUUAUUAUGUGAAAGCUUAAAAUAAUUGAGCAAUAUCUAGUUCUAAAGACUAUUUUUAUUAAUUAAUUAAUUAAUUUAUUUAUUUAUUGGCCCUGCACUCAGCAUGCAGAAGUUCUGAGGCCAGGGUUCUAAAGGCUAUUUAAAUCAAACUAAACAUUAAAAAUUACAGCAAUCUGGAGUUCCCAUCAUGGCGCAGUGGUUAAUGAAUCUGACUAGCAUCCACAAGGACGCAGGUUUAAUCCCUGGCCUUACUCAGUGGGUUAAGGAUCUGGCAUUUCCGUGUGCUGUGGUAUAGGUUGCAGACUCAUCUUGGAUCCUGUGUUGCUGUGGCUGUGGCAUAGGCCGGCAGCUAUAGCUCCAGUCUGACCCGUAGCCUGGGAAACUCUAUAUGCCAUGGUUGCGGCCCUAAAAAGAAAAAAAAAAAAA
This 2941-nucleotide long non-coding RNA is filed under the name Sus scrofa (pig). RNAcentral's name for it is "lncRNA (ENSSSCG00035007318.1)". The record is from RNAcentral. Lineage: Eukaryota; Metazoa; Chordata; Mammalia; Artiodactyla; Suidae.